CAGCAGCCGCGGUAACACGGAGGGUGCAAGCGUUAAUCGGAAUUACUGGGCGUAAAGCGCACGCAGGCGGUCUGACAAGUCAGAUGUGAAAUCCCCGGGCUUAACCUGGGAACUGCAUUUGAAACUGUCAGGCUGGAGUCUUGUAGAGGGGGGUAGAAUUCCAGGUGUAGCGGUGAAAUGCGUAGAGAUCUGGAGGAAUACCGGUGGCGAAGGCGGCCCCCUGGACAAAGACUGACGCUCAGGUGCGAAAGCGUGGGGAGCAAACAGGAUUAGAUACCCCGGUAGUCCCUGUCUCUUAUAC
Molecule: ribosomal RNA, 301 nt
Filed under: uncultured bacterium
Lineage: Bacteria
Description: partial 16S ribosomal RNA
Rfam family: Bacterial small subunit ribosomal RNA
Source: RNAcentral